This 322-nucleotide ribosomal RNA is filed under the name uncultured eukaryote. RNAcentral describes it as "partial 18S ribosomal RNA". It matches the Rfam family "Eukaryotic small subunit ribosomal RNA", at positions 1470 to 1796 of the family's 1831-position model. The record is from RNAcentral.
CCCUUAGAUGUUCUGGGCCGCACGCGUGCUACACUGAGUGGAUCAGCGGGUCAGGUUGCGCGAAAGUGUUUCCUAAUCUUUAAAUCCGCUCGUGAUGGGGAUUGACGGUUGCAAUUUUCCGUCAUGAACGAGGAAUACCUUGUAAGCGCGGGUCAUCAUCCCGCGCUGAAUACGUCCCUGCCCUUUGUACACACCGCCCGUCGCUCCUACCGAUUGAGUGAUCCGGUGAGGCUUUGGGAUCUGGGCGGAAAGAGCGUUUCGCUGUUUCUGCCCGGAAAACUCAGUCGAACCUUAUCAUUUAGAGGAAGGAGAAGUCGUAACA